GGAAUCCACCAUGGGGAAUAGACUGGGGGAGCCAAGGAUGCAAAGCAUCAUUGGGCCAGGGAAGACCAACACAACCAACUCCUUCCCAGGAGACAGAGAGAACCAAGAAUCAUCAGAUCAGCCCUUAAGGCUGAAGCCCCAUAUCUGUUCCAGACUAUCAGAGGAAUAGACUCAGGAGUGUCAAACCUGAGUUUGUAGACUCAACAGCUCAAACUCUGCAUUCACAGGAUUGCGGUGAGGGUGAGGAUGAGAAAAGAGGCUUGCCGGAGAGGAGGGCACCCACCGAAGAAAGUGCCCAGGAGAAGGGCAAGGGGAGAGCAGAGCAUCAUCCAAGCCAGCCUUUCCUGCAGCUAGUGUGGGGGACAGACGCCUCCUCUUCUGGGCCAGUGACGUGGUCAGGCCGCUCCCUCUGGGAGAUCUGCUGCCAGAGCAGAGGAAUCUACCCCUUGAGCUGGGGAGGAAACGAGGCUAGUCUUGUUUUAAGAGUGUGAUGAAUCACCCCUGGCCUCCCUGGGAACCAGCUGUACUCUGCACUUGGUAUCUUCUUUGCAUUUCUGCUGACAUCCUGGUAUGUAAAUAUAUUUAAUGACUCAUUGUUUACCUGUAAACUAGAGGUAACUCUCUAGCUCCCCUAGGAGACAUCAGAAGCCUGGGAAACCUUCAGAGAAACUGUGAUACUGAUAGAAGGAUGAAAAAGGAUUUUAGUUUAUCUGAAAUUGGAAACUAGAGCUAGACAUGUUACCUGGGAGAUGAAAGGAUAGGGCUCAAGAGAUUCAGGUAUUUUGGGGUAAUCAAAGCAGAAAUGCUCAGUUCUAAGGGCAGGAAGCUUCUAUGACAGCCAAACAAGGGAUCGUCUGCAUAAUCUUCAUCCCUGGCAGACAGGUUUUGAGACCUGGACAGGCAGAAUUAACUCCUGAAUUGAUCAAAGUUGGAAUCUGUUCCACGUGCCUCUAAUGGCCCAACUAGAUCUAAUUUAUCCUCUAAAUGCAACAUGAAUAACAGGAAACAUCACAGAGCCUUGGAAUCAUAUGGAUUUGGGUUCAUUUUGCAGCUCUGUUUCUUGCUGGCUUGGGAACUCUCAAGCAAACCCUCAUUCUCAAUUUUCUUAUCUGUAAAAUGAAAAUAAUGAUGACGAUACCUAAAAAUUGUUGAAAGAUGCAUUUUGCCUGGUGCACUGCAGGCAGGCACUCUUAUACGUGUUGGCUUUUUUAUUUUUUUCUUUUCUUUUCUUGACUCUAGGAAAAGCCUAUGUCUGCAGCAAAGAUUGGGAGAUUUACAAUGGGAUGUGGUGAAAAGUGGGGGCUGAAGGGACCACAGAGCCACAAAAAACACAGUCAAGCCACCAAUUCAUAAUAGCUAAGGAUUCAUAAUAGCUAAGCGUGGGAAUCUGCUAGGUAGCUGCUAAAACGUCAUUCUGCUGAACUGGGACUUAGGACCUUGAGAUGCCUGGAGGACACCAGCACACCCUUGGAAACUCCUCUUCCCUCUGUCUUUGCCAUGCUCUGUCCUCUGAAGGAUUCAUAUUCAGAACAAUUACUCAGUUUGUGUUGGAUGUGGUGCAGUGGUUGGAGACGAGAACCCAGGAAAGAAAGCUGUAAAAGCGGCUGAACAGGGAGAAUCAGCCUUAAGCAAAUAAAGCAUCUGUAACACUUUCCCAUUUCAUCAGGGCCUAGUGAUGUCAUAUGUUUGUUGUUGUUGCUGAUGCUACAGUAACACAAUUCCAAGUUAAUGUUGGGGUUCUUGCUCCUGACAGUUUCGGCUGUAGCACAUUUUUUUGUUUGCAUUUGAAUACACCAUAUGUAUAGGGGAAUGUUUUGUUUUUUCUCUUUUCUAAAUGGAAUUAAUCCUCUUAUAACAUUUAUUUAAAUGAUAAACCAAGUGGUAAAUGUAGUUUGCUUGCAGUGAACAUUUGGAACAUAUGAUGAAAAAUAGCUAUAGCCAACGCAAGAGCAGUUUUCAUUGGCUGUUCUACAGUUGUUCAAUCUCAGUUUUUAAUAAAUCUGAUAAUAUAAUAUCUGUGCAUAUUAGGAUUGCAGGGAGUGAGGCCAAAAUAAAUAUGUGCACACAUAACCUGUUCCUCCCUUUCUUUCCAUUUCUGUUCUCUUUCCUCUUUGCCUUUGAAAUUUUUAUUUAGUCCUGAGUGGGGAUGGGGUGGAGAGAAAGUGGACAGGGGGUGGAGAGAAAGUGGACAGAGGGUGAUGGGAGAUACAGGGAGAAAGAAUGAGAAUUGCUCUUGCUCUCAAGGGUACCACAUCAUGUUUUCCUUUGGCUGGCAGUCUUUAACACCAGCAUAUCGCAUGAGACCUGACUUCACUCAUCAGCUGCAUCGGCUCAGUGUCAUUACCACAUGUAGAGAGCAAUGUAAUCCUCCUUCUUAGAGAUGUUGCAGCAGAUUGGAGGGUGAAGAGAUGUAUCAGUCAGAUCAGAGUAACCAGCUGGCUCCUGGCUCCUGAUCAUUGUCACAGCUCAGUAGCUGGAAGCUCCUUCCAUAUGGCUGAUGCCUUUAAAAAAAUCUCCUCAGUCUCCAUCCCCAUCUGCAAUACUGUUCAGUUAUUCAGUCAUUUAAGUCAUUCAUGUAUUGAAAAGAGGAUGGGGCUAUGAUCCCUCUGCUCUGUGGCAGUACAUCUACAAAUGGGAGAGGCCUGGCCGCACAUCUGGCCUAGGUCUGGAGGUGUCCUACGGAAUUGAAAGCUGGCUGUAACUGUCAUCUUAACAUGUCCUGGUCAUCUUAACGUGUCCAUCUCUCUGGCAAGCCUCUUUUCAAAUCUUUUUGUUACCAUCUUCGGCUUUUUCCGUCCAUACUAGAUUCUUAAUGAAUCACUGCCAACAAGAGAAAGCUUUAUACAUGAAGAAAAUGGCAAUAAGAAUGAACUCAUCUUUUUAAUUUUAAAACUAGUAUAUAUUCCUAUAUAAUAGGAAUGGAGGAUGCUUGCAAAGCCUAUUUGUUCCUCUACAGAAGAGUUUAAAAUUACCUGGGCUAAUGGAAAGAAGGGAGAGUCAGCCAGUGAGAUGCUCCUGAAUGCCCUGAAUUGUGACUUACCUCUUCUUAUCCACAUCCUGAUCAAGGAAAGGGAUGAGAGAGAGGUGGAGAGAGAAGAAAUGAAAAUUCAAAAGUUUUGACGGCAGAGGAAAAUUGUGCUUAUUUCCAGAAUGAGAUGAACAAGGUCCUGGGUCCCUACAUGUCAUACUGGCUAGAGACUGAAUUUCCUGGGUUGCUGUGCACACAAGAGGACCCAAGCAGAGCACGGCACCCUGAAAUUCUUACUGAGCUGCGGACACAGCUCAGAGAAGAGGAGGCCAUGCACGGAAAGAGCCCCACAAUUUUCAUGCAGUCUCAUUGAGUCUUUGGGUAAAUACUAAGCUGGCAUCCAUUGGAUGAAAUUCCACAGGGACAGGCAAAGAAUAAAUACUGGGGAAUUAACAACUGCUGGUGAACUACAGUAUGAAUAAUUACUAGAUCUUGGUCAAGGCCAAGAGAGAGACAGCUCUGAGCAAUCAGAAUAGCUUUGUUGAAUACCUGGAAUAUUUAACAGGUAUCCCAGGAAGCCCAUAACUUAGAGUAGGACUCAAAUGACAUAGAAUAAGUCUACCAUCCAUUAACCCUAACAAAGCUUGGAAGAGCCCUUGAAAGGAAAAGCAGACAAGUUGACCUAUAAGCAAGUCAACUGCCCACUACAAUAAAGCUCAACACUCUUUGAGAGAAGAAAACAAAAUUCAGACAAUAACAAAGUAACAUAAUGUUGAGCAUCCAGUGAGAAAUUAUGGGAUAUACUUAGAAGCUGGAAAAUGUGUCUAUACUAAGUAGUAACAUUAGGCAAUUGAAAUCAACCCAGAAAUGACAGAGAUGGUGAAUCAAAAUAAUGGGACUUAAAAAUAGCUAUUAUAUUAAAAUGGCUAUUAUUAAAUAUGUUCAAGGAUUUAUAGUAAAACAUAACAUAAUGAAGAAAGAAACAGAAACUAUAAAAAAGCUAAGUAGAACUUCUAGAUCUGAAAAAUAUCUGAAAUGAAAAUUUUGCUAGAUAAGCUUAAAUUGGAGUAGACACUAUGGGAUAAAUGUCUAUGCACAUGAAAUCAGGACAACAGAAACUCAAAACAAGAGAGGGGGAAAUAAUGCUAAACAGCUACAAAAACUGGAAGAGGUCUCAGGGAACUCUCAAACAACAUCAAGUCGCCUAGCACACAUAUCACUGGAGUCUUCAAUAUAAAGGAGAGAAAGUGGUGGCAGAAAACAAUUAUUUUUAAAAUAGUGGCCAAAAUGUUUCAUACAUGAUAAAUAAUAUCCACCUACAGAUCCAGAAAGCUUAGCGAAACCCAGACAGAAUAAGCCCAAACAAGUUUGUUUAUGAAAGAGAUUACUUACAGGUACAAGGCUCAGUGUAACUUUCAUGUAAGAGACGGACUCUGAGAUGGUCCUUGAGAAGGCAUAGGGUUUUAGACUGAUAAAAAUGACAUUUAAAGGCAAGAAAGGAUGAAUGGUGCAGAAAUGACCAAAGGGGACAGAGGCUGAAAGUACAGGACAUCAGGGAAGAAUAGUAAGAAGAUGAACCUAAAGGGAGAGGAAGAGAAUGCAUGAAGAUAGGUUACAGUAAAAUUUCCUAAAGCUUAACAUGUCUGUGUCUGAGGGAAUUCUAUGAUGGAGUAACAGAGGCUGAAUUUACCCUCAAACCUGAAACAAUUAAAAUGCAUGAAAUAUAUAAAACACUGGACAACAGAUGGCUCAAGACCGUGAUCCUUGAGAGAAGUGAAAUGAAUAAAGUGAACUCUGUGAUAGCCCCAGUUUAUAGCCUUUUUCAAGCAGUAUUACAGGGAGGAGAAGCCCAAACAGCAUCUGGCAGGCUUUCUGAGUUAAGGAGACUUGUAUUCAGGGUUUGAGGAGGCCAAAAUGGCUAAAAUUCCAGGGAAGAGACCCAGGGAGGAGAAAGCAGUAGGUGGGAAGAGCUCUGGAAUGUGCAUCGGACUCCCAGUGACUCUUCAACUGCUCUGACCAGUGCAUAUAAGAAAACAACCUGAGGCCAGGGAAAGACCACUUGAUGGAUCAAGCAGAACCAUCUCAAAGUCCACAAGGUACCAGGAACAGAUAGUGUUUCCAUCAACCAGAGUGGGAGACCUCCUAACACAGAGGGCAUUGAGGAGAAUUCUCAGAAGCGGAUCACCCCAGUACGGAGGGCGGGAGGGCAAAUUUGCUGUACACUAAAGGUUGUCCUAGAUACAACUUACAAAGCUUCAAGACAAGACUCAGAAAUAUCAAAUUGUUUCUAUGUAAUCUAUCUGCAUCACAAAAUAAAGUCCCAAAUUUCUUUAAGGGAUACAAAUACUCCAGUAGCUAGAAACAUCAAAUUCAAAUAUCUGAUAUCCGAUUUUAAAAAGCCAUAUAUGCAAAGAAACAGAAAAAUAUGGGUCAUAAGGAGGAGAAAAACACUCAACAGAAACAGAUCCAGAAAUGAUACACAUGAUGGAGUUAGCAGACAAGGCUAUUAAAUAUAUAUUCAAUAUGUUCGGCAGGAUAGAAGAGAGUGUACCUAUGUUAAGAAGAGACAUGGAAAAUUUGAAAAAGACUGAAAUAAAACUUCUUCCAAUGCAAAAUACAAUGAAUGUGAUUUUAUAAUAUACUGGAUGGGAUUAACAGCAGAUUAGAUAUCUCAGAUCAAACUUAAAGAUGAGGUAAUAGAAAUCAUCUAGGAUGAAAACAGAAAGAAACUGACUUUAAAAAAGUGAGCAGAGCAUCAGUGAGCUAUAGAACAGCAUUAAGUAGCCUAAUAUUGAGAGUCCUAUGAAACUGGAGGACUAAUGCAGAAAAAAGAAAUUGAAUAACUAAUAGCUGAAGCAGUUUGAAAUUUAAUGAAAAGGAAAAGCCACAGAUUGAAGAAGUUUCAUGAACUCCAAGCACAAGUAACAUAAAGAACACUUUAACAAGAUACAUUAUCGCUGGAUUGCUUAAAACUAGUAAUUAAAGAAAAAUCCUGAAGAGCAACCAGAGAAUAAAAGACACACUAUGUACAAAUGAACACAGUUAAGAAUGACUGCAGUCAUCUCACUAGAAACAAUUCAGGCAAAAGAGUGUGGAGAAACAUCUUUAAAUUAUUUAAAGAAAAAAUUCCUGUUAACCUAGUACUCUAGAUCCAGUGAAAAUAUCUUUCAAAAACAUUGGCACAAUAAACUUCUCAGACAUACAAAAACUAAAAUAAUUCUUCGCCAGAAGACACAUACACUACAAGAAAUGUUAAAGGAUAUCUUUCAGACAAAAUGAAAAAAAGUCCAGAUGGAAUUGGUAAGCUAGCUCCCUGUGAGGGAAAAAAAGGAAAAAAGGGAAAAGCCUGGAUUUAUAGCAUUUUGACCAAUUUUAUGAAUAUAAACAUUCCCACCAUGGCCAAAUUCAAACAAACAACGAUUUUUAACGACUGGUUCACAAAAUUUCUGAAUAUUUAACAACUGGGUCCUAUGAGCUGAUACAAACCAACUACAGACUAUUACAGAUAGAAUAUCAUUAGCAAAUAUGUAAUAAAUACAAAAAACAGUAUUUGUGUUAUUUUAAAAAUCUCUUUUAAAAUAAUUGACUUUCUAUUUCCAGCGAAACCAAAGUAAAGGACAAAAUAUAUAAAGCACCAGUUUUCAAGACAUUAGACAUCAGGCAAGGAAGGACAAGAAAAAAUGAAGUUGUAUAAUAACCCAAGCUUACCACCUGGAGACAAUUUCCAGGCCAUGGCACACAGAGGGGAAAUCCAGGUGGAAACUAUCAAACUCCUCCAGUCAAGGAGACACAACUGAGAGGAGAAUAAGGGCAAGUAGAGUUCACAGGGCUGAGGAUAGCAGAGGAGAGAGAUGGGCAGAGAGAAUCUGUGAGGUCUUCAGAGGGCCCACCCUCAGUAUUCACAGGGUAUUAACAAGACCAUAAGUGUGAGAAAACCAUCUGAGAUUGGGAAAAUAACCAUACAAAGGAUUAAAGAGAACAGUAACUGAAUUUCCUGUAGGACCAGGAAUAGGGUAUAAUUUCACCAGCCAGACUCAAAAACAUUAAAAUUUAUGGGGCACUGGGACAAGAGUGUUUUGUGUCAGAAGGGUUUUGGCUCACAAGUGGAGAAUAAUGAUCUCUAAACUAAAUGCUGCUCUGCUGUCAUCUAACAGAUGAUUAAAACUAGGUACAAAAGAAUCAGAUUAUUUCAAGAAAUGUAACUGUGUUCUAAAACAGAGCUCAAAAAUAUUUACAGAAAAAUAAAAAGUCCAAUACAAAAUUAAAACUCAAUGUAUGGAAUAAAAUAAACAAAUUACCACGCAUACAAAAAAAGCAGAAAAAUGCAAUGUAUAAUGAAAGGAACAACUGGAACAGAUGUUAGUAAAAAAAAGAUAAUUUAAUUUAAAAAUAAAAAAGUUAAGCUAGAGCUGUUAAGUAGACAUAGAAGAUAUUUUUAAAAGCCCCAAAUCCAACUUCUGGAGAUGAAAAUGACAAUAUCUGACAUUAAAAAUACACUGAAUUAGAUUAAUGAUAGAUUAGACAAUGUAGAAGAAAAUACUAGUAACCUAGGAAGAUAUAGCAACAAAGGCAAACCAAAAAUGGAGGCCAGAGGAAAUAAAAUAAUUUUUUAAAGGAAACAGACAAUUAAUUGUUACAGGACAACUUCAAGUGAACUAACAUAACUGGUUUUAAAAGAAGAGAAGCAAGAUGGCAAGAAAGAAAAAAUUAUUAGAGGAAAUCAUGACUGAAAACUUUCUGAAUUCAAUAAAACUCAAACCUCAUAUAUCCAAGAAGCUUGACAAAACUCAAGCACACAUACACAAAAUGUACCAAAGACUAUAAUAAUCAGAUUUCUGAAAAUUAGUG
Long non-coding RNA from Chlorocebus sabaeus (green monkey), 7816 nucleotides. RefSeq lists it as uncharacterized. NCBI's taxonomy places the organism in Eukaryota, Metazoa, Chordata, Mammalia, Primates, Cercopithecidae. The record is from RefSeq and is a predicted model, not a curated record.